RNAcentral lists this ribosomal RNA (450 nucleotides) under uncultured bacterium. RNAcentral's name for it is "partial 16S ribosomal RNA". It matches the Rfam family "Bacterial small subunit ribosomal RNA", at positions 338 to 795 of the family's 1533-position model. The record is from RNAcentral.
CCUACGGGUGGCUGCAGUAAGGAAUAUUGGUCAAUGGACGAAAGUCUGAACCAGCCAUGCCGCGUGAAGGAUGAAGGUCCUCUGGAUUGUAAACUUCUUUUAUCUGGGACGAAAAAAGGGAAUUCUUUCUCACUUGACGGUACCAGAAGAAUAAGCACCGGCUAACUCCGUGCCAGCAGCCGCGGUACUACGGAGGGUGCAGGCGUUAUCCGGAUUCACUGGUGCGAAGGGGGGCGUAUGUGGGCGGUUUGAAAUCUCCGGGCUUAACCCGGAAACUGCCAUUGAUACUAUCUGUCUUGAAUACUCUGGAGGUAAGCGGAAUAUGUCAUGUAGCGGUGAAAUGCUUAGAUAUGACAUAGAACACCGAUUGCGAAGGCAGCUUACUACGGAGUCAUUGACACUGAGGCACGAAAGCGUGGGGAUCAAACAGGAUUAGAUACCCCAGUAGUC